Molecule: unclassified non-coding RNA, 241 nt
Filed under: Hevea brasiliensis (rubber tree)
Lineage: Eukaryota; Viridiplantae; Streptophyta; Magnoliopsida; Malpighiales; Euphorbiaceae
Source: RNAcentral
UUGUUUUCGCUUUUCUAGUAGUAAGUUAGAAACUUCAACCGAGUGUUGCUAUAACUAUGGGACUACAACUAGACUUGGGACCCAGAUGCCUGCUGGAGUGAUUAACAAGCACAUGAAGGUAUUUAAUUCUUGAUUAGGAUUAUGAUGGGGUGUUUGAUUCAGGCUUGACAAUUGAAGGUGCAUCUGGUGGGUGAGUUUGGAAGAUUGCCGAAGCAAGUGAUAUGGGCAUGAUGCAAAGUGC